AGCAGUCGCCGCGGUAAUACGGAGGGUGCAAGCGUUAAUCGGAAUUACUGGGCGUAAAGCGCACGCAGGCGGUCUGACAAGUCAGAUGUGAAAUCCCCGGGCUUAACCUGGGAACUGCAUUUGAAACUGUCAGGCUGGAGUCUUGUAGAGGGGGGUGGAAUUCCAGGUGUAGCGGUGAAAUGCGUAGAGAUCUGGAGGAAUACCGGUGGCGAAGGCGGCCCCCUGGACAAAGACUGACGCUCAGGUGCGAAAGCGUGGGGAGCAAACAGGAUUAGAUACCCCUGUAGUCCCUGUCUCUUAUCC
RNAcentral lists this ribosomal RNA (303 nucleotides) under uncultured bacterium. RNAcentral's name for it is "partial 16S ribosomal RNA". It matches the Rfam family "Bacterial small subunit ribosomal RNA", at positions 507 to 809 of the family's 1533-position model. The record is from RNAcentral.